This 380-nucleotide ribosomal RNA is filed under the name uncultured eukaryote. RNAcentral's name for it is "partial 18S ribosomal RNA". It matches the Rfam family "Eukaryotic small subunit ribosomal RNA", at positions 592 to 976 of the family's 1831-position model. The record is from RNAcentral.
CAAUAGCGUAUAUUAAAGUUGUUGCGGUUAAAAAGCUCGUAGUUGGAUUUCUGCCGAGGACGACCGGUCCGCCCUCUGGGUGUGUAUCUGGUUUGGCCUGGGCAUCUUCUUGGAGAACGUAGCUGCACUUGACUGUGUGGUGCGGUGUCCAGGACUUUUACUUUGAGGAAAUUAGAGUGUUUCAAGCAGGCACACGCCUUGAAUACAUUAGCAUGGAAUAAUAAGAUAGGACCUCGGUUCUAUUUUGUUGGUUUCUAGAGCUGAGGUAAUGAUUAAUAGGGAUAAUUGGGGGCAUCUGUAUCAACGCGUCAGAGGUGGAAUUCUUGGAUUGCGUUGCGACAAACUACUGCGAAAGCAUUUGCCAAGGAUGUUUUCAUUGA